UUUGGCACCAUGACGAUCAA
RNAcentral lists this microRNA (20 nucleotides) under Ciona intestinalis (vase tunicate). Its description in RNAcentral is "cin-miR-4099-5p". The record is from miRBase by way of RNAcentral. Lineage: Eukaryota; Metazoa; Chordata; Ascidiacea; Phlebobranchia; Cionidae.